This 500-nucleotide ribosomal RNA is filed under the name fungal sp. 3f19. RNAcentral's name for it is "eukaryotic LSU rRNA". The stretch from base 163 to 316 matches the Rfam family "5.8S ribosomal RNA". The record is from RNAcentral. Lineage: Eukaryota; Fungi.
UGACNUCCUACACUGUUGCUUCGGCGGGUAGGCCGUCCCCUGAAAAGGACGCCUCCCGGCCCGGACCGGACCCCCCGCGGGACCGGACCCGGCGCCCGCCGGAGGAUAACCAAACUCUAUUGUAACGACGUUUCUUCUGAGUGGCAUAAGCAAAAUAAUCAAAACUUUUAACAACGGAUCUCUUGGUUCUGGCAUCGAUGAAGAACGCAGCGAAAUGCGAUAAGUAAUGUGAAUUGCAGAAUUCAGUGAAUCAUCGAAUCUUUGAACGCACAUUGCGCCCGCCAGCAUUCUGGCGGGCAUGCCUGUUCGAGCGUCAUUUCAACCCUCAAGCUCUGCUUGGUGUUGGGGCUCUACGGUCGACGUAGGCCCUCAAAGGUAGUGGCGGACCCUCCCGGAGCCUCCUUUGCGUAGUAACAUUUCGUCUCGCACUGGGAUCCGGAGGGACUCUUGCCGUAAAACCCCCCAAUUUUCCAAAGGUUGACCUCGGAUCAGGUAGGAAU